GACAGAGGCCUCAAGCGUUAGGCGGAAUCACUGGGCUUAAAGCGUGUGUAGGCGGAUCGUUAAGUGCCUUGUGAAAUCCCACGGCUUAACUGUGGAACGGCUGGGCAUACUGGCGGUCUUGAGCCAUCUAGGGGCGACUGGAACAAACGGUGGAGCGGUGAAAUGCGUAGAUAUCGUUGGAAGCGCCAAUGGUGAAAACAGGUCGCUGGGGAUGAGCUGACGCUGAGACACGAAAGCCAGGGGAGCAAACGGG
RNAcentral lists this ribosomal RNA (253 nucleotides) under uncultured bacterium. RNAcentral describes it as "partial 16S ribosomal RNA". It matches the Rfam family "Bacterial small subunit ribosomal RNA", at positions 524 to 776 of the family's 1533-position model. The record is from RNAcentral.